UACGUAGGGCGCAAGCGUUAUCCGGAAUUAUUGGGCGUAAAGAGCUCGUAGGCGGUUUGUCGCGUCGGCCGUGAAAACCUGGGGCUCAACUCUGGGCGUGCGGUCGAUACGGGCAUCACUUGAGUUCGGCAGGGGAGACUGGAAUUCCUGGUGUAGCGGUGAAAUGCGCAGAUAUCAGGAGGAACACCGGUGGCGAAGGCGGGGUCUCUGGGGCCGAUACUGACGUGAGGAGCGAAAGCAUGGGUAGCGAACAGG
This 255-nucleotide ribosomal RNA is filed under the name uncultured bacterium. Its description in RNAcentral is "partial 16S ribosomal RNA". It matches the Rfam family "Bacterial small subunit ribosomal RNA", at positions 524 to 776 of the family's 1533-position model. The record is from RNAcentral.